AGAGUUUGAUCCUGGCUCAGGACGAACGCUGGCGGCGCGCCUAACACAUGCAAGUCGAACGAGCGAGAGAGAGCUUGCUUCCUCAAUCGAGUGGCGAACGGGUGAGUAACGCGUGAGGAACCUGCCUCAAAGAGGGGGACAACAGUUGGAAACGACUGCUAAUACCGCAUAAGCCCACAGGUCGGCAUCGACCAGAGGGAAAAGGAGCAAUCCGCUUUGAGAUGGCCUCGCGUCCGAUUAGCUAGUUGGUGAGGUAACGGCCCACCAAGGCAACGAUCGGUAGCCGGACUGAGAGGUUGAACGGCCACAUUGGGACUGAGACACGGCCCAGACUCCUACGGGAGGCAGCAGUGGGGAAUAUUGCACAAUGGGGGAAACCCUGAUGCAGCGACGCCGCGUGGAGGAAGAAGGUCUUCGGAUUGUAAACUCCUGUUGUUGAGGAAGAUAAUGACGGUACUCAACAAGGAAGUGACGGCUAACUACGUGCCAGCAGCCGCGGUAAAACGUAGGUCACAAGCGUUGUCCGGAAUUACUGGGUGUAAAGGGAGCGCAGGCGGGAAGACAAGUUGGAAGUGAAAUCUAUGGGCUCAACCCAUAAACUGCUUUCAAAACUGUUUUUCUUGAGUAGUGCAGAGGUAGGCGGAAUUCCCGGUGUAGCGGUGGAAUGCGUAGAUAUCGGGAGGAACACCAGUGGCGAAGGCGGCCUACUGGGCACCAACUGACGCUGAGGCUCGAAAGUGUGGGUAGCAAACAGGAUUAGAUACCCUGGUAGUCCACACCGUAAACGAUGAUUAAUAGGUGUUGGAGGAUUGACCCCUUCAGUGCCGCAGUUAACACAAUAAGUAAUCCACCUGGGGAGUACGACCGCAAGGUUGAAACUCAAAGGAAUUGACGGGGGCCCGCACAAGCAGUGGAGUAUGUGGUUUAAUUCGACGCAACGCGAAGAACCUUACCAAGUCUUGACAUCCUGCGACGAUGCUGGAAACAGUAUUUUCCUUCGGGACGCAGAGACAGGUGGUGCAUGGUUGUCGUCAGCUCGUGUCGUGAGAUGUUGGGUUAAGUCCCGCAACGAGCGCAGCCCUUAUCCUCAGUAGCCAGCAGGUAAAGCUGGGCACUCUGUGGAGACUACCAGGGAUAACCUGGAGGAAGGUGGGGAUGACGUCAAAUCAUCAUGCCCCUUAUGAUCUGGGCUACACACGUGCUACAAUGGCGUAAACAAAGGGAGGCAAAGCCGCGAGGUGGAGCAAAUCCCAAAAAUAACGUCUCAGUUCGGACUGCAGUCUGCAACUCGACUGCACGAAGCUGGAAUCGCUAGUAAUCGCGAAUCAGAAUGUCGCGGUGAAUACGUUCCCAGGGUCUUGCACUCACCGCCCGUCA
This 1377-nucleotide ribosomal RNA is filed under the name uncultured bacterium. Its description in RNAcentral is "bacterial SSU rRNA". It matches the Rfam family "Bacterial small subunit ribosomal RNA". The record is from RNAcentral.